This is a long non-coding RNA of Meriones unguiculatus (Mongolian gerbil), 726 nucleotides long. RefSeq lists it as uncharacterized. The record is from RefSeq and is a predicted model, not a curated record. Lineage: Eukaryota; Metazoa; Chordata; Mammalia; Rodentia; Muridae. The transcript is spliced from 4 exons.
AGACAAUGAGACAAGUCAUCUCCUGAUAGUACCCUUCCUACCUCAAAGAAGAUGAUGAGCAUCGAAGAAUCUCCAUAUGGAGAUGGCUUUAAAUGUGGCAAAUGAGCCAACCGAGCAAAAAGAAAAUGCCCUCAUUUCAUGACAGACAGAAUUCUGCCAAAAAUGUGCAAGCCUAAAUGCAGGACAAGUCGACUGCCGAACUCUGCCAAGACAGGGCAUGCAAGGAUCUGCAUGACAAAUUCCAAAUCCCAGGCAGGGGAGACAGCUCAGCGAAUAAAGAACAAGAAUGAAGAGCUGAAAUACUACCCUAGAACCUGCACAAAGACUGUUCUGUAAUUCCAGUGAUCCUAAGGAAAUAGAAGCUGGGACACCUAGCAGGCAGAAAGUAUUAUGGGAUAAAGCCAGGUGCAUGAGAGAUUCAUCUGUCAAGACGUGAGGAGGACAAAUGUACCUGGGCAGAGGUAACCAGCCACAUGGCAGAAUAUUGACAGGGGCAGGUGAUACAGCUUUACCAUCUGCCGGAGGGAGAACUGAAAAUAUUGAUGAAGAUAUUACUACCUAUCUGGUAGUCAGCAUCUUGAAAGAGGCUGCAGAGAAGAAAGAAGAUCCAGGCAACAAUGACUGAGUCAACAUAGGGACGAGAAGAACUUGAAUGAGGUGUGACUGAAGUGAAAGGAAGAAUGACAAAGAUUACAAGGACCUUAGUUUAAGCAAUGGGGUGCAUGA